UACGGAGGGUGCAAGCGUUAAUCGGAAUUACUGGGCGUAAAGCGCACGCAGGCGGUUUGUUAAGUCAGGUGUGAAAUCCCCGUGCUCAACAUGGGAACUGCAUCGGAUACUGGCAAGCUUGAGUCUCGUAGAGGGGGGUAGAAUUCCAGGUGUAGCGGUGAAAUGCGUAGAGAUCUGGAUGAAUACCGGUGGCGAAGGCGGCCCCCUAGACUAAGACUGACGCUCAGGUGCGAAAGCGUGGGGAGCGAACA
Molecule: ribosomal RNA, 251 nt
Filed under: uncultured bacterium
Lineage: Bacteria
Description: partial 16S ribosomal RNA
Rfam family: Bacterial small subunit ribosomal RNA
Source: RNAcentral